CAGAAAUUGGUUUUGUAUCAGUCAGAUAUCGAUCCGUUUGUUCAUGAAUCUUAUUUCUCGCCUUUAUUUAUGUCAUGUUGUACAGGUCGCCACGAGUCGUACAAGAUUUCUUGUGAAACGGAAAAAGAAAGAGCAAAUUGGAUGAAAUGUAUACAGUAAGAAAUGAAAGUUCUUUAUUUUUUUACGAACGAGCGCAGCGAGUGAGUAAAAUAUUGUUUUUGACACGAGAAGAUAAAAGUCAUAUCUUCAAGCCAAGCAAAAAAUUUUGAAAUUUCACGCUCAAAAGCAAAUUGGAAAAAGUCACGUGAUCGAUAUCUUCACUAGUGAAGAUAUGGAAAAUAUCUCACUGUGUAUUUUUCAGUAUCUCACUCUCUACUAUAUAAUAAAUAGUCUGAUCCAUGUACGCGGAUUUUUUGGUUGGAUAAACAUAAACAUUCAUGUCAAUUUUUUUUCAGUUCGCUUUUUUCUUUUCGUAGGGCUAGUAUGGUGAUGGAUCCAUUUUACGACUUUUUACACGCGCGGAAAAAGAAAGCAACGCAAACUGUAUGAAGAACAGUUCAUAUUUUAAAAUCAGGUGUGGCACUGGUGCACAGGGUUGCAAAUGGAUACUCAUCCAGUGAAAUUCACCAUUGUGGUGUUGGACAGUGACUCGGCCCUGACCACACAACUAGGCGGGGAUGAAUUAUAGUUGGGCGCGCUAUGCAGACUAUGUUCACACUACAUCGGAGCGAAAUAAUGUCGGCAGAAUUUACGUGUGUUCACACUACGCUGUCACAGUUUGUUUAUAAAUUAGCACUCAUGUGAACCCAAAAUAUUUCAAACAGAGCAAAGAAACUUAAACGAAAAGUAUUCGAGUUUACUGUUGGUGUUGUUGUUGGUGUUGUUGUUGUUUUUGUUGUUGUCCUUGUUGCUGUUUUUGUUGUUGUUUUUGUUGUUGUUUUUGUUGUUGUGACUAUUUUAGCAGGGUAGCCCAUUCAGCUGUUAAGCUGGUAUCCACAUAGGGGCCCUGCAUAUUAUUAGCUAAAUACAUAAAUUAUGUAAUCCUAUCUAUGAUCCAAAUUAAUUCCAACAUAUUUACAAUUCAGAUACAUAUAAUGUUGUUUAAUUCAGUUGGUAGCUGAGAUGCUUGAUUUGCAAGCAGUACAAAAAAGUAAACGGCAUUUUUGUGCACACGAAGCCGCCAAACACUCCGUUUUCAUCUCACUCCGUUUAGAAACCGUGCUCAAAUUAUUAAGACAAAAGUGACGUUUUCAAACAAUUUCGCUCUGGCGUCGUGUGAACGUAGUCUUGUUGGCCGUUUAAAAUCGUAGCGACUGUGCUCGACCUACCAGCGGAACGGAAAUAGAAACUGUGUAUAUAUUAGUAUAUAUAGGAUUUGUAUAGCAUAUUACUGUAACCCGGAUUGGAAAUCAAUCUAAUUGGGAUUGAGGAUCAGACGUUCUGAAAAAUAUAACAAGAAAUUUGACGUUUUAGGCUAAACUUGAACCAAGGCGGGAUUUUCGUGGAAAUAGUGGGGCAGGUGGAAAAAUUUUAGAAGAGGUGCAGCGGUCUAGCUCACGACCCCCAUAGAAAGUUAGGGCUUAGAACGGGCCAAAGUCAACGACAUGACGUAUGUAUAUACGUAUCGGUGUAUUAAUGAAUUAUGACUGUACAACUCAUCCAAUUUUGCCCUUCGUUACAAUUACUGUAAAGUUUUUUUUCAAAAAUAUUGCAUUAGAAGGGUACUUGACACAGAGAUGAAUGGCUAUUACUGUUUCAAUUUUACAGAAAAAACUUUCUUACGAAGUGUAGACCCUAAGCAACCAAAAAAUGUCAAAUUUUCACUUUGAUCUAUCGUUGACACUUUCCUAAGGGGAGAUGCAAAACGAUCUCAGGGGAGGUGCGCACCUCCCCUCAAAAUCUGGCCAUGACUUAAAGUAAAGACCCUAACGAAAAACUCUCGCUGGAAACGUUGGACGUCUUGUUCUAAUGUUGUUCUGAAGUCAUAUCGCUCCAAAUUUUUUCCGUGAAGUAUCGGAAUGAUUAGUCAUAAUGCGCUGUCAUAAAAACAGCGACUGGAGAGCAAACAGCAACAAUAUAACGGUAACUAACAGUAACAUUUUAAUUGUAUGUUUUACUAAACAUGAACAUUUUCAACUAUUUAUGCUAAGUUGCUAACGAAUAUAUUAUGAAAUGAAUAUAUAUUAACCAAAAGACUGUCUUUUGGAUUGUCUAUGAUAUUAACGAUAUAGUGAUAUAUUAAUACAAAUUGUGUAAAUUUUAACGAUAACCCUUUAGAUUUAUUUGUAAUGUAUAAUAUUGAUGUGCAAUACAGGCAAAACAGCAGCGAAACAGUAAAACCAUUUACUAUACGUCCAGGAUCUUAUAUAAAUUUCGUGUCACGGAUUAAUAUACAUUUCGUGCAUAAAAGGCCGCGUGACUUCCAUUUCGUAAGACUAGUCUGGGACUCUAUAACCUGCUGGACCUCGUACCGGUUUAUGCGCUUGUAGCCCAGUCCACGUGACAUCUGUAUCUGCAUGUGUUCAUUGUGAGAUGCAAACAACGGUAUCGUGCAUAUGGGUUGUACCACUGAGC
RNAcentral lists this long non-coding RNA (2574 nucleotides) under Paramuricea clavata. Lineage: Eukaryota; Metazoa; Cnidaria; Anthozoa; Malacalcyonacea; Plexauridae. The record is from RNAcentral.